GAGCUGUGGGAAGCAGGUAGGCAGUGGUUAGGGCCCACAAUCACAUUUGUGAUUGGAACCACUCCUUGAGUUAUCCCACUGCUCUGAGAACAAACUUCAGGUUGUCCAAAGGAAGAAAACAUGGAGAUUUAAAGGGACAAAACCUCCCCAGGUCUGGAAAUGUUUUGUGUGAGAAUGUGUCUAUGUGUAAUCAUUUCCAGACCUGGAGGAUGAGACCCUCUAAUAACAGUACACAAAAUUAUUUAGACAAUGGAGCUCAUUGGCUCCCAGAAAAGAAUUGUAAGUAUGCAAGCAGUCUGAUUACAGUACAAAUUUGUGAGUAUGUUGAUGGUAAAAAGUUGGUGUAAAUGUCUCUGUUAAAAAACAGGUAGCAUU
Molecule: non-coding RNA, 375 nt
Organism: Notechis scutatus (mainland tiger snake)
Lineage: Eukaryota; Metazoa; Chordata; Lepidosauria; Squamata; Elapidae
Source: RefSeq, a predicted model, not a curated record